CACAACGCGACGCGGCUCGGCUCGGCUCGGCUCCCGGUGCGCAGCCGCAGCGGGGCAGCUGUGGGCGGAGCGCGGCCUACGGCGGCCCUGAGGUGCGCUGAGCUCUGCUGGUGUAUGGGUCGGGCGCGGGGGUGCGGCCAGCAGCUGGGAGCCGUCUUUGUGGAAGACGUUUUGAGUGACUGGCAGCCGCUCGUCCGAGGCACGUGUCAGUUAUCUGGUGUCUCCUGUGGUGCUAACCUCUGGGAAGAAUAUGCUGUAUUUCAUCAUCAUUAAAAAAAAAAAAAAUAGAACAAGUCAUCUGCUGUUUGUGGGACAAAUGGCCACAACAGCUAUCAUUUAUUUA
Molecule: long non-coding RNA, 343 nt
Organism: Numida meleagris (helmeted guineafowl)
Lineage: Eukaryota; Metazoa; Chordata; Aves; Galliformes; Numididae
Exons: 2
Source: RefSeq, a predicted model, not a curated record